UUCUUUCUCUUUCUCUUUCUCUUUCUCGUUCUCUCCGUCUCUGCAACUCUUGCUCUGCAACUUAGAAAACAAAUCUCCGUCUCUCCAUCGUUCACCUCAAACUUCACCUCAAAUUUCACCUCAAACUCAGAAAACAAACCCCAACUUCAUAGAAGAAGAGUUCAUAUUUCUCAGCGUCAACUCAGUUCCGACUUUUUGGUUUUGUUUUUAUAGUAGCUGCGUACGUGUGGAAGAAGAUGAAGACCAAUUUGUCUGCAAUAGUAAACAAAAAGGUUAUCAAAGAAGCAAAGAGCAACAAGUCGGUCCCAACUCCUAAAAAGGUAGUAAACAAGCAGGCAAAAAUCGUCUGUGUGUCUCCUUUCAAGACCAAUUUGAAAGACCAGAGUAAAAAGUCUCCUGCCAAACAAACUCCUAAGAAGAAGAAGAAGAAGAGUUCAGAGCAUCCUGAUAGCGGAAAGAGUCCAAGAAGAUCAUCCCCUAGGUUCAAGAACACUCCUGAGGAACCUCAUAAUGCUGAAAAGACAUCUCAGAAUAGUUCAGAGGAACCACAUGAUGCUGAAAAGACUACUCCAACACGAUCAUCGGCUCGGAAAACUAAAAGUGAAGUUGAACCAGUCGCUGAAAAGACAACUCCAACACGAUCAUCACUUAGGAAAAGGAAAAGCUCAUUUGAACCAGAACAAUCUCAACCAUUACAGUCCACAUCAGGAGCAUCUCAAGUUGCACCCUCUAGUGAAGUUGUUAAGAAGCAGAAAUAUGCAAAGCGGAGAUUGUACACAGGGCCAUGUCCAAAUGUGCAAGUCAGGAAUGUGAAUGAUACUUUCUCAGAUCUUCAAGACAGCGAAGACGAAGAAGAUGAAGAUGAUGAACAAGAAGAGAAGGGAAAUGAAGAGGUGGAAAAUGAGAACGUGGAAAAUGAGGAUGAGGAAAAUGAGGAUGAGGAAAAUGAGAACGAUGGCGAGGACCAUGGCGUGGAAAAUGAAAAUGAAACAGAAGCUCAGGCAAAACCGAAAAGAAAGUACGUUCCACGUGGCCCAACAAGGAUGAGUGCACUAGGGCUAACAAAUGGUAAGAAUGGAAAGGAAGUUGUUAGCUUUAACAAUAAGGAUCAUCCCAUUGGUGAUCCUUCGGUGCAGCUUGCAAGUGUGUUGGGAGUUAUGGUUAGGAGAAACAUCGCACUAAAACACAGGGAUUGGAGACGUGUCCCUAAAGAAGCCAAAGAUAACAUAUGGGCGGUUGUCCAGCAAAGGUUUGUUGUCAAUGAGUUUUAUAAAGAUUACUAUGUUGGGAAGAUGGGAUGUUAUCUUAAAGAGGCUAGGUCAAGGAAAUUCGGGAAGAUACUCGCCUUAGAUGAGCUAGAGAAAGAAGAAAGAGAGAAGAAGCUGGCAGCACUGAAACCAGAUAAUAGCACUGUCAAUGAGUGGGAAGAGUUCGUGAAACAUGUUUGCUCGGAGGAAUUCAGAACAAAAAGAUUCUGGAUGCAACAAAUCAGGAAGAAAUACACCACUCCACACACUAUCAGUAGACUAGGUUGGGCGAGACUCGAGGCUAAGAUGCAAAAGGAACGGAAAACACAAGAACAAAUUGAUAGAGUCGAAGUUUGGACAACGGGUCACAAACAGAAGGAAUGAAAGGAACCUAAUCCGGGUGUUGUGGAGGCUUUGAUAUACACAAUUACAGGAAAAGAAUCAAAGAGCAGCAGAAGAGCAUGGUGCUGAUGUUGUAUCAUCUGUGACAGAUGAUCUUCUUGCCAAAGCUCUUGGUGACGACAAACCAGGGAGACUGAGAGGAAUUAGGUAUGGAGCGACAAAGACAAAAAUGGCUGUCAAGGCCCAUUAUAAGAAGAUCAUCAAAAAGUGUCGGGACAAUAUGAAGGAUGUGAACGAGAGACUUGCACUGUUAGAGGAAAAGACGUCGAGUUGUGUCUGCCAUGGUGCCUCACACUUGCACAACGUCAGUCCAAAGUCUGGAAAUGCUAGCAAUGUUGUUGGUAGCACUAGCAUGAAUGUUCCCCACCAUGAAAAUGACAGUCCAAUCAGCAGACCAAUGGCAGGGGGAGUGCUAGAGAAGGGUAAAGCUUGCAGGUUGCUCAGUUGGUACAAUGAGAAUGAGGUUGUUGCUGACGCGGUUAUUGCUGAAACAGAUCCAAAGAUGAAGUGCCAUGGAGAACCAAUAGGUUUUGCAGCUUACAAGGUAACUGUCACUACAUCUAUUGUUGAUGAUGCCAUUCUCUACAAGCAAAGCGGCGAGUUCAAGACUCUAUUCAACGUUGUAGGAACUUAUACCACAUGGUCCAAGGAUCUCAUAUUGCCUGCAAUCUGACUUGUUAUUAUGUUUGGGGAGUGUUUGGGGAGUGUUCAUAAAACAAUCUUGUUCUUUUUUUGUUUCUCUUAUCAGCUUAAAACAAUGUUGUUCUUUUUUUGGUGCACUUAUCAGUUUAAAACAAUGAUGUUAUUUUUUGGUGGCUGUGAGAAUGUGUUAUCAGCAGGUUCAAGUGUUUGAAUGUUGUUACAUUUUAAUUGAAUGAAGCCAAUUUAUAUAUUUUCCGGUGAA
Molecule: RNA transcript, 2553 nt
Organism: Papaver somniferum (opium poppy)
Lineage: Eukaryota; Viridiplantae; Streptophyta; Magnoliopsida; Ranunculales; Papaveraceae
Gene name: transcription initiation factor TFIID subunit 11-like
Exons: 11
Source: RefSeq, a predicted model, not a curated record